GCGUUGGUGGUGCAAUGGUAGUCAUAGCUGCCUUCCAAGCAGCUGUUCCGGGUUCGAUUCCCGGCCAACGCC
This is a non-coding RNA of Rana temporaria (common frog), 72 nucleotides long. NCBI's taxonomy places the organism in Eukaryota, Metazoa, Chordata, Amphibia, Anura, Ranidae. The record is from the annotation of a RefSeq genome assembly.